This 206-nucleotide unclassified non-coding RNA is filed under the name Hevea brasiliensis (rubber tree). Lineage: Eukaryota; Viridiplantae; Streptophyta; Magnoliopsida; Malpighiales; Euphorbiaceae. The record is from RNAcentral.
UGUGAUUGUGAUUGUGAUUGUGAUCGUGAUCUGCUGUUAAAGUAUAUUGAUUGUAUUUGGAUCAUGGUUUGCCAUGUUGUAAACGAUGUAGGCCACUUCUUAGAGGGGCUAAUAUUGAAUUUUCAUUUUGAAUGGGUUGUUCUUUGGGUCAUUUUGGGUCUUGUUUCUUCAGUGACUGAACAUUUGUAUUUUAAGCAUGAGACAGG